GGCGCGCAAAUUACCCACUCCCGGCACGGGGAGGUAGUGACGAAAAAUAACGAUACGGGACUCAUCCGAGGCCCCGUAAUCGGAAUGAGUACACUUUAAAUCCUUUAACGAGGAUCAAUUGGAGGGCAAGUCUGGUGCCAGCAGCCGCGGUAAUUCCAGCUCCAAUAGCGUAUAUUAAAGUUGUUGCGGUUAAAAAGCUCGUAGUCGAAUUUGUGUCUCAUGCCGCUGGUUCAUCGUUCGCGGUGUAAACUGGCGUGACAUGGGACGUCCUGCCGGUGGGCUUAGCUCUUAACGGGGCGGCCCUAUAUAAUCCUGCCGCGUUGCUCUUAAUCGAGUGUCGAGGUGGGCCGGCUCAUUUACUUUGAACAAAUUAAAGUGCUUAAAGCAGGCUAAAAUUUUGCCUGAAUAUGUGUGCAUGGAAUAAUGAAAGAGGACCUCGGUUCUAUUUUGUUGGUUUUAGGAACCCCGAGGUAAUGAUUAAUAGGAACGGAUGGGGGCAUUCGUAUUGCGACGUUAGAGGUGAAAUUCUUGGAUCGUCGCAAGACGAACAUAAGCGAAAGCAUUUGCCAAAAACGUUUUCAUUGAUCAAGAACGAAAGUUAGAGGUUCGAAGGCGAUCAGAUACCGCCCUAGUUCUAACCAUAAACGAUGCCAGCCAGCGAUCCGCCGAUGUUCCUCCGAUGACUCGGCGGGCAGCUUCCGGGAAACCAAAGCUUUUGGGUUCCGGGGGAAGUAUGGUUGCAAAGCUGAAACUUAAAGGAAUUGACGGAAGGGCACCACCAGGAGUGGAGCCUGCGGCUUAAUUUGACUCAACACGGGAAACCUCACCAGGCCCAGACACUGGAAGGAUUGACAGAUUGAGAGCUCUUUCUUGAUUCAGUGGGUGGUGGUGCAUGGCCGUUCUUAGUUGGUGGAGCGAUUUGUCUGGU
This 928-nucleotide ribosomal RNA is filed under the name Meloe coelatus. Its description in RNAcentral is "SSU rRNA". It matches the Rfam family "Eukaryotic small subunit ribosomal RNA", at positions 431 to 1319 of the family's 1831-position model. Lineage: Eukaryota; Metazoa; Arthropoda; Insecta; Coleoptera; Meloidae. The record is from RNAcentral.